GCUGGAGGUAUCAGAAGUGCGAAUGCUGACAUAAGUAACGAUAAACAAGGUGAAAAACCUUGUCGCCGGAAGACCAAGGGUUCCUGUUCAACGUUAAUCGGAGCAGGGUGAGUCGACCCCUAAGGCGAGGCCGAAAGGCGUAGUCGAUGGGAAACAGGUUAAUAUUCCUGUACUUGGUGUUACUGCGAAGGGGGGACGGAGAAGGCUAUAUCAGCCGGGCGACGGUUGUCCCGGUUUAAGCGUGUAGGUGUGUGUUCCAGGCAAAUCCGGUUCACUUUACACUGAGGCGUGACGACGAGGCACUACGGUGCUGAAGUGAUAAAUGCCCUGCUUCCAGGAAAAGCCUCUAAGCAUCAGGUAACACAAAAUCGUACCCCAAACCGACACAGGUGGUCAGGUAGAGAAUACCCAGGCGCUUGAGAGAACUCGGGUGAAGGAACUAGGCAAAAUGGUGCCGUAACUUCGGGAGAAGGCACGCUGUCGGUAGGUGAAACCCCUCGCGGGUGGAGCUGAAGGCAGUCGAAGAUACCAGCUGGCUGCAACUGUUUAUUAAAAACACAGCACUGUGCAAACACGAAAGUGGACGUAUACGGUGUGACGCCUGCCCGGUGCCGGAAGG
RNAcentral lists this ribosomal RNA (619 nucleotides) under Pantoea ananatis. Its description in RNAcentral is "bacterial LSU rRNA". It matches the Rfam family "Bacterial large subunit ribosomal RNA", at positions 1272 to 1876 of the family's 2925-position model. Lineage: Bacteria; Pseudomonadati; Pseudomonadota; Gammaproteobacteria; Enterobacterales; Erwiniaceae. The record is from RNAcentral.